CGCCCUUCACUAUAGAAUGAAUAAUCUUCAAUUAAAUUGAGAAAUCAGCCCAACUCAUUAAUUGCAUAAGUGGCCCAAAUUUCAGCCCAAUUUCAUUCUAACCCUAGAGAAAAGGAAAGCAGGCGGCGCACCAUCUUCCAUCUCCUCUCCUUCCGUCGACAGCCGGCACCACCAGGUCGCCGUCAACUCACGCCGCCAUCACCUCUGUCGCUAGUCUGCCACUCAAUUUUGUUCUGUGCGCUGCAAACACCCUCCUUCCUCUCAUCUUCAUGCCCAACUUCCCAGCAUCAAAAUUCCUGAAAUAAAAGGUUAGAUUCACUCCUUAUUGUAUCAAAAUUGAUUAAAUUGGACGUUAUUUGUCAUAAGUUAGAGACUGUAAUUGGAUGUUUUCUCUUCGCGGUGGCUGGACCGUCGCCGGCAUCUCUCGUCGCCGUCGCAGGAAUCCAAGCAGAACCGCACCUGCUAUACUGCAAGUCUGCAAUCACAAAAUCAGAAUAUCAGUCCAAGAAAUGCAGAUUCUAGUGCAUCUAUUUAAAAACGUUCUAAAUCUUAGUAUAUUCUUUCCGGCUUUCACAUAUCAAGAAUGACUUCUUCAUCAGCUUCCUCUUUGCUUAUAUUUUUUGUUGUCUUCAAUGUCCGAAAUACUAUAGGCUUCUUGAAUGUGCAAUUCUUCAACUGGUUGACUACAGUAUGCGCACUGUUUUCCUUGCAAAAUAAAGCAAUUGCUAAUGUCAUGUUUAUCAAAUAAAUAUUUCCUCUUUGUUUAUCUUUUUGCAAGCUAAUAGAUGCCUUCUUAGUAAGAUGGGAGUGACGAAGAAUCAGUAGAAAAAUUGAUGGAGAUGAGACUGAAAUGAACUUGGAAACCAAGAAAUGGUGGUUGGUAUUUAUUUAAAAACUAUUAGGUUUUUUGGCCCAAUUUUUAGCCAAAUAAAAAAAUAUACAAUCAUCUAUCCAUUUCCCGUCCAAAAGGGCAUGAAAGUCAUUUCACCCAACUGACACUUUAGAUUAGUAUAGAUAUAGAUGGCGGCGACGAAGGGUUUGUCAUCGUCGCCGACAUGUAAUUUGGCGGCUAUGGAUUCUCUGAAUGAGAACUCAAUCGGAGAAAUGACGAAUAGCUGGAAUGCGUUUUGCGCAGCAACAGAAGCGCAGCUUAGGCGCGAUGAAAAUUUGUCGUUCGCUUCUGAUAUCGUGCCACGUGUCCGAACUCUAUGCGGUUAUGGACUCCAGUCACUGAUCGUCGAGCACUUCCUUUGCUCUGUGGAGAAAACAUUUGAGAAAAAUGGAGCAUCAAGGUUUUGGAAGCAUUUUGAUGCUUACAACAAAAUGGUGGUUCAGGAUAUGGAAGACAUGGAUCAACAAGGAGAGAUGCAAGAAGUACUACAUACUGCCUUAGAACAGAUAACAUCUGAAAAGCAAUACCUGGAGAAGUGCCUAUUAGUGUUAAUUCAUGCUUUAGAGACAUGCAGGGAGAGUAAGCCUGAAGAAACAGCCCAAUCAGAUGCAGAGCGAAACUACCUAUUAUUAAAAUAUCAAUUAAUAGUAACUUCGGUUCUCAUGACUAGUCUUCCUCCACAUUUCCCUGAUGUGCUUCAGUGGUACUUUAAGGGAAGGCUUGAGGAGUUGAGUGCGAUGAUGGCUACAGGGUCUGAGUACGAUAACAAGUUAAGUGUAGAUGAUGAAGGGGACCGGGAUUGCAAAAGAGUGGAAAUGGAUAUUGAUGAAAACCAACACCAAAGAAUUGUACUGGGAAACAAUAAAUUAGUAAAGAACAUUGGGGAGGUUGUGUGUGAUCUGAGGCAUCUUGGUUUCACCUCAAUGGCCGAAGAUGCCUAUGCGUCUGCCAUAUUUCUUCUAUUGAAGGGCAAAGUGCAUGAGCUGGCUGGUGAUGAUUUCAGAUUUUCAGUAUUAGACUCUAUUAAGCAGUGGAUACAGGAUGUGCCAUUUCAGUUUUUACAUGCCCUUCUUGCAUACCUGGGUGACUCUGUAAGUUAUGGAAGCCCUUCUUCUGGUCUGAAAUCUCCUUUGGCAUCUCACCCAUCUUAUAAGUAUUGUGGAAACGAAGUUCCUUCAGAAGGACUCAUCCGAUGGCAGUUACGCCUAGAGUAUUUUGCUUAUGAAACAUUACAAGAUCUAAGAAUAGCCAAGCUUUUUGAAAUUAUUGUGGAUUAUCCUGACAGUUCCCCUGCUAUUCAAGACUUGAAACUGUGUCUUGAAUAUACCGGGCAACACUCGAAACUUGUUGAUUCUUUCAUAGCUGCACUCAAAUAUCGGUUACUAACAGCUGGUGCCUCUACCAAUGAUAUAUUGCAUCAAUAUGUUUCGACUAUUAAAGCCCUUCGAACCGUAGACCCAGCUGGCGUAUUCCUUGAAUCUGUUGGUGAACCAAUAAGAGAAUACUUGAAAGGAAGGAAGGAUACCAUUAAAUGCAUUGUUACCAUGCUCACUGAUGGGGCUGGUGGAAAUCCUACUGAACCGGGAAGUACUGGGGAUAGCCUUCUUGAAGAGCUAAAUAGAGAUGAAGAAAAUCAAGAGAGUUCUAGCUUUGAUGAUGAUGUUUGCACUGAUGACAAGCAAGCUUGGAUAAAUGCCCAAAGUUGGGAACCUGAUCCAGUGGAAGCAGAUCCCUUGAAGGGCAGCAGGUACCGGAGGAAGGUUGACAUUCUUGGUAUGAUUGUCGGCAUAAUUGGUUCGAAGGAUCAGUUGGUGAAUGAGUAUCGUGUUAUGCUGGCUGAAAAGCUUCUGAAUAAAUCUGAUUAUGACAUUGAUUCGGAGAUACGUACACUGGAACUCCUGAAGAUUCAUUUUGGUGAGAGCAGCAUGCAGAAAUGUGAAAUAAUGCUCAAUGAUCUAAUUGAUUCAAAAAGGAUGAACACCAAUAUUAAAAAAGCAACCAUCAAGCAACAACCUAAGCCAGUUGCUGACAUCGGAGAGGUUGAGCUUUCACUGGAUAAUGUUGAUGCUACCAUUAUAUCAUCAAAUUUCUGGCCACCUAUCCAGGAUGAGGCCCUUAAUAUACCUGGACCUGUGGACCAACUUUUAAGUGAUUAUGCUAAGAAGUUCAAUGAAAUCAAGACCCCUCGUAAGCUCCUAUGGAAGAGAAGUCUUGGUGUUGUGAAGUUGGAGCUGCAAUUCGAAGAUAGAACACUGCCAUUUAUGGUCACACCUCUCCAAGCUGCCAUCAUUGGUCAAUUCGAGGAUCAAACAAGUUGGACGUCGAAGAAUCUUGCUGCUGCUGUUGGUGUACCAAUUGAUGUCUUGAACAGAAGAAUAUAUUUUUGGAUAAACAAGGGCAUCCUAGCAGAAUCAGUUCCGGAUUCUGGGGAUAACACAUUUACUCUGGUGGAAGCUAUGGCCGAGGGUGGCAAAGCUGGUGUUGGCAGUGGUAGUUCUGAAGAGCUUCUAGCAGGUGAUGAGGACGGAGAGAGAUCCGUAGCAUCUGUUGAAGAUCAACUGCGAAAAGAAAUGACUGUUUAUGAGGUUGGCAUGACGAAAAAUUGACCUCUACUUUUCUGGAAAAAUUCAUCACUGGGAUGCUCACCAAUUUUGGCAGCAUGGCUCUGGACCGGAUUCACAAUACGCUCAAGAUGUUCUGUAUAGGCGACCCCUCGUACGACAAAUCACUCCAGCAGCUGCAAAGUUUUUUAGC
This is an RNA transcript of Salvia splendens (bonfire salvia), 3646 nucleotides long. It is a transcript of the gene named anaphase-promoting complex subunit 2, with no coding region annotated. Lineage: Eukaryota; Viridiplantae; Streptophyta; Magnoliopsida; Lamiales; Lamiaceae. The transcript is spliced from 16 exons. The record is from RefSeq and is a predicted model, not a curated record.